CCUACGGGUGACAGCAGUGAGGAAUAUUGGUCAAUGGACGAGAGUCUGAACCAGCCAAGUAGCGUGAAGGAUGACUGCCCUAUGGGUUGUAAACUUCUUUUAUAUGGGAAUAAAAUGCUCCACGUGUGGGAUUUGGUAUGUACCAUAUGAAUAAGGAUCGGCUAACUCCGUGCCAGCAGCCGCGGUAAUACGGAGGAUCCGAGCGUUAUCCGGAUUUAUUGGGUUUAAAGGGAGCUGAGGUGGGUUGUUAAGUCAUCUGUGAAAUUUUGCGGCUCAACAGUAAAAUUGCAGUUGAAACUGGCAGUCUUGAGUACAGUAGAGGUAGGCGGAAUGCGUGGUGUAGCGGUGAAAUGCUUAGAUAUCACGAAGAACUCCGAUUGCGAAGGCAGUUCACUGGACUGCAACUGACACUGAGGCUCGAAAGUGUGGGUAUCAAACAGGAUUAGAUACCCGGGUAGUC
Molecule: ribosomal RNA, 460 nt
Filed under: uncultured bacterium
Lineage: Bacteria
Description: partial 16S ribosomal RNA
Rfam family: Bacterial small subunit ribosomal RNA
Source: RNAcentral